CCCGACUGCUAUUUGGGUGAGGAUAAGCCAUGCGAGUUGAAUGGGAAACCUAAAGUUCCCAUGGCAAACUGCUCAGUAACACAUGAUCAACUUACCCUAUAGAGAAAAAUAACCUCGGGAAACUGAGGAUAAUGUUUCAUAGUUGAAUUGGCUUGGAAAAGUUUUUCGACGAAAGGGGGUAAAAAAAAUGGUUUUUAUCUGCUAUAGGAUAGGAUCGUGUUCGAUUAUGGUUGUUGGUGAGGUAAUGGCUCACCAAGCCGAUAAUCGAUAGGGGCCGUGAGAGCGGGAGCCCCGAGAUGGGUACUGAGACAACGACCCAGGCCUUACGAGGCGCAGCAGGCGCGAAACCUCCGCAAUACACGAAAGUGUGACGGGGUUACCCAAAGUGUUCAAUUUUGAACUGUGGUAGGUGAGUAAUGUUCCCUACUAGAAAGGAGAGGGCAAGGCUGGUGCCAGCCGCCGCGGUAAAACCAGCUCUUCAAGUGGUCGGGAUAAUUAUUGGGCUUAAAGUGUCCGUAGCCGGUUUAGUAAGUUCCUGGUAAAAUCGGGUAGCUUAACUAUCUAUAUGCUAGGAAUACUACUAUACUAGAGGGCGGGAGAGGUCUGAGGUACUGCAGGGGUAGGGGUGAAAUCUUAUAAUCCUUGUUGGACCACCAGUGGCGAAGGCGUCAGACUGGAACGCGCCUGACGGUGAGGGACGAAAGCCAGGGGAGCGAACCGGAUUAGAUACCCGGGUAGUCCUGGCCGUAAACGAUGCAUACUAGGUGAUGGCAUGGCCAUGAGCCGUGUCAGUGCCGUAGGGAAACCGUUAAGUGUGCCGCCUGGGAAGUACGGUCGCAAGGCUAAAACUUAAAGGAAUUGGCGGGGGAGCACCACAAGGGGUGAAGCCUGCGGUU
RNAcentral lists this ribosomal RNA (896 nucleotides) under uncultured archaeon. Its description in RNAcentral is "bacterial SSU rRNA". It matches the Rfam family "Archaeal small subunit ribosomal RNA", at positions 21 to 902 of the family's 1478-position model. The record is from RNAcentral.